GACGAACGCUGGCGGCGUGCCUAAUACAUGCAAGUCGAGCGGACGGAUGGGAGCUUGCUCCCAGACCGUCAGCGGCGGACGGGUGAGUAACACGUGGGCAACCUGCCUGUAAGACUGGGAUAACUCCGGGAAACCGGGGCUAAUACCGGAUAACUCUUUCCCUCACAUGAGGGAAAGCUGAAAGAUGGCAUCUCGCUAUCACUUACAGAUGGGCCCGCGGCGCAUUAGCUAGUUGGUGAGGUAACGGCUCACCAAGGCGACGAUGCGUAGCCGACCUGAGAGGGUGAUCGGCCACACUGGGACUGAGACACGGCCCAGACUCCUACGGGAGGCAGCAGUAGGGAAUCUUCCGCAAUGGACGAAAGUCUGACGGAGCAACGCCGCGCGAGUGAUGAAGGUUUUCGGAUCGUAAAACUCUGUUGUCAGGGAAGAACAAGUACCGGAGUAACUGCCGGUACCUUGACGGUACCUGACCAGAAAGCCACGGCUAACUACGUG
RNAcentral lists this ribosomal RNA (498 nucleotides) under uncultured bacterium. RNAcentral's name for it is "partial 16S ribosomal RNA". It matches the Rfam family "Bacterial small subunit ribosomal RNA", at positions 28 to 507 of the family's 1533-position model. The record is from RNAcentral.